GGUGGGAGUUCAAUAUUCUAUAAGAGCAACUAUCCCAAACGUGAUGAAUCGAACACGCUCACAACUGCCCAGGCCGUCAUUCAAAUCAACAUUACCUGGUCCAAGAUGAGACUCAACCUUCUUUUCUUCUUGUCCCUGUGGAUGACUUCAAUCCUCGCAACACACGGGCUUCCCUCGGACUGCUGCGUUGGCUUGUCCAAGACCAAAGUCUCACUGAGAAAAAUUAAGUCUUAUGGUUUUCAGUCUCUGGGCGCCUGCUCCAUCAAGGCCGUAGUGUUUCGCACUAACGGAAACAAAAGAAUUUGCGCAGACCCCGACAGUUGUUGGACACAGAGAGCCAUUUUAAAAGUGGAUGGAGGACUUUUGCAGCAGCAGGAAGCGAGUAACAGCAAUUCGACAAGUGUCAAUGGGACAACUGGCCCAUGCACCUCGUUGAGGAAGUCACAAAGGAAGAAAAGAGGAAAACAAAGGGUGUAGAUAUCUAGCUGGUAUCUCUGUCUUUAUAUCUAAUUUAUCUCUAUAUCAAAUCUGUAGUGCUUACAUUUUUCAUGGCGGAUGUAAAAAUAUUUGUUACACAUUUUCAUCCACUCUGAUGAUUUAAAGGAGUUUAUACUAUAAUUAUCAGUACACUCUAUUAUACUGUCCAAAGUUGUACAGUCGUAAGCGUUUGACAUGCAAGACUUGAUAAAAAUAAAGAAAAUGUAUUCUUAAA
Syngnathus typhle (broad-nosed pipefish) is the source of this 712-nucleotide long non-coding RNA. RefSeq lists it as uncharacterized. Lineage: Eukaryota; Metazoa; Chordata; Actinopteri; Syngnathiformes; Syngnathidae. The record is from RefSeq and is a predicted model, not a curated record. The transcript has 3 exons.